UCCAGCCUGUCCGAACAGUACCCCGACUGGU
Molecule: non-coding RNA, 31 nt
Filed under: Homo sapiens (human)
Lineage: Eukaryota; Metazoa; Chordata; Mammalia; Primates; Hominidae
Source: RNAcentral